RNAcentral lists this transfer RNA (64 nucleotides) under Charonia tritonis (giant triton snail). Its description in RNAcentral is "tRNA-His". It matches the Rfam family "tRNA". From Rfam's summary of the family: Transfer RNA (tRNA) molecules are approximately 80 nucleotides in length. Their secondary structure includes four short double-helical elements and three loops (D, anti-codon, and T loops). The record is from RNAcentral. Lineage: Eukaryota; Metazoa; Mollusca; Gastropoda; Littorinimorpha; Ranellidae.
GCCAAGUUAGUUUAUUUAAAACAUCAAUCUGUGGAGUUGAAAAUGAAAGUACUUUUACUUGGUC